This 556-nucleotide ribosomal RNA is filed under the name uncultured bacterium. RNAcentral's name for it is "bacterial SSU rRNA". It matches the Rfam family "Bacterial small subunit ribosomal RNA", at positions 33 to 584 of the family's 1533-position model. The record is from RNAcentral.
ACGCUACGGGAGGCCUACACAUGCAAGUCGAGGGGUAACGGAAGUAGCUUGCUACUAGACGACGACCGGCGCACGGGUGAGUAACGCGCAUGUAAUCUGCCUUGUACAGAGGGAUAGCCCAGAGAAAUUUGGAUUAAUACCUCAUAGUAUUACUGAGUCGCAUGAUUUGGUAAUUAAAGCUCCGGCGGUACAAGAUGAACAUGCGUGACAUUAGCUAGUUGGUAAGGUAACGGCUUACCAAGGCUACGAUGUCUAGGGGUUCUGAGAGGAUGAUCCCCCACACUGGUACUGAGACACGGACCAGACUCCUACGGGAGGCAGCAGUGAGGAAUAUUGGUCAAUGGACGCAAGUCUGAACCAGCCAUCCCGCGUGAAGGAUGACUGCCCUAUGGGUUGUAAACUUCUUUUAUAUGCAAAUAAACCUACUUUCGUGAAAGUAGCUGAAGGUAGCAUAUGAAUAAACACCGGCUAACUCCGUGCCAGCAGCCGCGGUAAUACGGAGGGUGUAAGCGUUAUCCGGAUUUAUUGGGUUUAAAGGGUACGUAGGCGGUAAUAU